AAAUAUCUUAUAAAUUAAUAAAAUUCAAGAUAAAAUACUUAAAAAAAUAACCAACACCUUAUUAAUUGACAUCCUUACACUAUCAUGAUAAAAAAAGUGUGAUGAAUAAGGUUCGUGGCACAUUGCUGCAAUUGGUAACAUUCCCAAAACAAGAGAAUCUGUCGGUGACCACUGCCCCUUUGGCAGUAUCAGCGUUGAGUUGCAGAAUAUGGCAAAAAGGGGCAAAUGUAUACUUCCAAACCUACAAAUCUGAAACCAUAAGGUUAACUGCGACUUGGCACGAUGCAAUUGGUUACUAUUAGAGAUGCCAUGAUCUUCAACACGUGGUGGGAGACAAAAUCAUUUCCUUUCGUUUUUUCCAUCUAAUAAAAAUAUAUCAAAAAGCAAGAAAUUAAUCCAAUGUGCACGAUCUUCAAUGUAGAUACGACCUGCUAAAAGUAUGGAAAAGCAUAAAAUUCUUCCAAUUGAUAGUCAAAGUUACAAAAUAUAAGAAGAAAAUGUACCACCCAAUUAGAAGAAGAAAGAGAAUAAUAUUGCUAGGAAAACCAUGCAUGGAGCCAUAACCAAAGAGAGUAUUUCAACACGCCUCGCUGAUGAA
RNAcentral lists this long non-coding RNA (598 nucleotides) under Theobroma cacao (cacao). RNAcentral describes it as "long non-coding RNA (TCAC_LNC002627)". Lineage: Eukaryota; Viridiplantae; Streptophyta; Magnoliopsida; Malvales; Malvaceae. The record is from RNAcentral.